GAGUGCCUGCCUCGGUUUCUUAUUAACUGCCAAUCCAGAGGCCACGUUGAUGGGAAGGAAGAAGGCUUGAUCUCAGUUACCGAACUGCAGGACUGGCUCGGACCGACGAUACUUCUGCCCUCUUCCCGUCUCUGAUAGUGGCUUAGUACAGCUUCAGUGUGUGGAGCAGUCCAGCCCUAAUGGAUAGAACCUCAUCGGACUCUGAACAGCUG
Dromaius novaehollandiae (emu) is the source of this 212-nucleotide long non-coding RNA. RefSeq lists it as uncharacterized. Lineage: Eukaryota; Metazoa; Chordata; Aves; Casuariiformes; Dromaiidae. The record is from RefSeq and is a predicted model, not a curated record. The transcript has 3 exons.